GCAUCAGUGGUUUAGUGGUAAAAUCCGCGCUUGCCAUGCGCGGGCCCCGUGUUCGAUUCACGGCUGAUGCA
Molecule: transfer RNA, 71 nt
Filed under: Sphaerulina populicola P02.02b
Lineage: Eukaryota; Fungi; Ascomycota; Dothideomycetes; Mycosphaerellales; Mycosphaerellaceae
Description: tRNA-Gly (GCC) (tRNA-Gly-GCC-2-1)
Rfam family: tRNA
About the family: Transfer RNA (tRNA) molecules are approximately 80 nucleotides in length. Their secondary structure includes four short double-helical elements and three loops (D, anti-codon, and T loops).
Source: RNAcentral